RNAcentral lists this non-coding RNA (28 nucleotides) under Homo sapiens (human). The record is from RNAcentral. Lineage: Eukaryota; Metazoa; Chordata; Mammalia; Primates; Hominidae.
AGACCAUGCUUCAGUGCUGUCCCACAUA